RNAcentral lists this unclassified non-coding RNA (374 nucleotides) under uncultured bacterium. RNAcentral describes it as "contains 16S-23S intergenic spacer region". The record is from RNAcentral.
CUCACAGUUUGCACUGGCAGUCUUGUUAGAGUUCCCGACUUGACUCGCUGGCAACUAACAACAGGGGUUGCGCUCGUUAUAGGACUUAACCUGACACCUCACGGCACGAGCUGGCGACAGCCAUGCAGCAUCUGUGGUGCACCCUCGAAGGUCGCACGUUUCCGUGCGCUUGCAGCACCAUGUCAAGCCCAGGUAAGGUUCUUCGCGUUGCAUCGAAUUAAUCCGCAUGCUCCGCCGCUUGUGCGGGCCCCCGUCAAUUCCUUUGAGUUUCGGUCUUGCGACCGUACUCCCCAGGCGGAGUGUUUCACGCGUUAGCUGGGCCCCUGAUCCACGUAGACCAAGGGCGAACACUCAUCGUUUACGGCAUGGACUAC